Non-coding RNA from Equus caballus (horse), 802 nucleotides. The record is from RefSeq and is a predicted model, not a curated record. Lineage: Eukaryota; Metazoa; Chordata; Mammalia; Perissodactyla; Equidae.
ACCAUUUAUAGGAGCGAAUGUCCUUUCCCCAUUGUAUCUUCUUGGCUCCUUUGCAUGGACUUAUUUCUAGCCUCACUUGAAAGAAAUCUUAAGACUCACAGAGCAUACUCACGUAAGGCCUUUAACUAAAGGCCACAGAGGCAGUGCAACAAGAAAAAGAGAAUGCAGACAAACAUUUGGGAUCCUGGAGACUUCCAAGGGCAAUCUCCCCAGGGUUCUUAUUCACACAUCACCUGCGUUCUGCCUUCAGAUUAAACUACCAAGAUCUGUGUAAGGACUUGUAGUUCUGGGAAAGCUCAAGAAAGAAGUUCCCCUCUGAGUUUUUAUUCCCCACUGGUCAUGUUUUCAAGUUAGGCUACCUAACUGGUUGUGCCGGUUGAAAACCAUGAGUCAACAACUGGCCCUAGAGGUUGCCAUGUGAGUUUAAACUUUAAACAGCACAUUAUCAAUUCCACUACUCUUGUCUUUGCCAAGAGUCAAAGGCAGACAACCAAGAGUCCCCAGAGAUAAGACUAUACAUUUUUUUAUCCAAUUCGGCUAUAAGGUUUAACAGGUUUUGGCUAUGUGACAAGAGAGGGAUAAAAGAACACUCAAUAAACUUGUGUCUUGAUUUCUCCAAGACUGAGAUACUGCACACACAACAUGAUGGUUCAUGUUCCAGAGACAGAGCAUGUCCUGCAUGAUUGGAAGAAGACCCUGGAAGAUAUGCAUGGACGUCUAGGAUCUUCCUGAUGUUUACCUGUGCUUUCUUUCUCCUGUGGUAUCAGAUUUUUUCCUUUAUUAAAACUUCACUUAAGUAUAA